GAGAAAGCGAGUGGGUGGGUGCAGAAAAAAGGAAGUGGCGGUGAAGAAGAUAGAAGUUAAAGACAAAACGACAGAAAACAACAGAUGAGAGGAAAGGAAGACGAGGACUAACACAGAGAAGAGAAGACGAAAGACGGGAGGGAGACACGAAAACACGAAAGGUGAGAGUGAGGCGGAGCUGCAGAGUCAGAGGAGGAUUCACACGUUACAAUCACAACACCAAUGCUGUCACUCAACCGCAUGGUGUUGUGAUGAACAGCUGAGACUCACAAACACACAGACACACACACGCACGCACACAGACACAGACACACACACACAGACACACAGACACACACACGCCCACACACAGACACACGCACGCACACACACAGACACACACACA
This is a long non-coding RNA of Sander lucioperca (pikeperch), 385 nucleotides long. RefSeq lists it as uncharacterized. NCBI's taxonomy places the organism in Eukaryota, Metazoa, Chordata, Actinopteri, Perciformes, Percidae. The record is from RefSeq and is a predicted model, not a curated record. The transcript has 3 exons.